Long non-coding RNA from Oncorhynchus gorbuscha (pink salmon), 764 nucleotides. RefSeq lists it as uncharacterized. NCBI's taxonomy places the organism in Eukaryota, Metazoa, Chordata, Actinopteri, Salmoniformes, Salmonidae. The record is from RefSeq and is a predicted model, not a curated record. The transcript has 3 exons.
GAACUGAAUGCCAACAUUAAAGAUGAAGAGGAGGAGGAGAUUGGGAGGUCUGUUUCUCAUGGCUGACUCAGAUCAAGUCUGAGGUUUGUAACAUCAACAGUGAGGACAAACACAGCCUUCCUCUCUCCUUCCACACUGAGUCCAAACCUACAGUCACUGGGUCCUGAUUGUGACAGUGGAGCCCAGUUUGCGCUGCAGGAUCCAGAGAUGACAUCAGUAAAGCUGGAAGACUGCAGUCAAACACUGGAGCUGAAUGUCAACAUUAAAGAUGAAGAGGAGGACGAGAAGAUUAGGACGUCUGUUACUCAUGGAGACCACGUUGAGACAUUCUCUACAUCCAGAGAGCAACAUCAGGAAGAUCACAGAGCUAGGAGGUCUCACCACUGCCCACAUUGUGAGGAGAUUUUCCCACUUCCAUCAAAACUAAAAAUACACCUAAAAAUACACGCAGGAGAAAAGCCUUACUCCUGCUCUGACUGUGGGGCGAGUUUCUCUCGACUGGGCACCUUAAAACAACACGAAGGUAUACACACAGGAGAGAAGCCUUACUCCUGCUCUGACUGUGGGGCAAGGUUCUCUCGACUGGGCACCUUAAAACAACAUGAACAUACACACACAGGAGUAAAGCCGUACUCCUGUUCUGACUGUGGAAAGAGUUUCUCUCGACUGGGUAACUUAAAACAACAUGAACGUAUGCACACAGGAGAGAAGCCUUACUCCUGCUCUGACUGUGGGGUGAGUUUCUCUCAUCCGGGCACCUUAAA